RNAcentral lists this ribosomal RNA (492 nucleotides) under uncultured bacterium. RNAcentral describes it as "partial 16S ribosomal RNA". It matches the Rfam family "Bacterial small subunit ribosomal RNA", at positions 29 to 507 of the family's 1533-position model. The record is from RNAcentral.
AGUGAACGCUGGCGGUAGGCCUAACACAUGCAAGUCGAACGGCAGCACAGUAAGAGCUUGCUCUUACGGGUGGCGAGUGGCGGACGGGUGAGGAAUACAUCGGAAUCUACUUUUUCGUGGGGGAUAACGUAGGGAAACUUACGCUAAUACCGCAUACGACCUACGGGUGAAAGCAGGGGAUCUUCGGACCUUGCGCGAUUGAAUGAGCCGAUGUCGGAUUAGCUAGUUGGCGGGGUAAAGGCCCACCAAGGCGACGAUCCGUAGCUGGUCUGAGAGGAUGAUCAGCCACACUGGAACUGAGACACGAUCCAGACUCCUACGGGAGGCAGCAGUGGGGAAUAUUGGACAAUGGGCGCAAUCCUGAUCCAGCCAUACCGCGUGGGUGAAGUAGUCCUUCGGGUUGUGAAGCCCUUUUGUUGGGAAAGAAAAGCAGCAGGUUAAUACCCCGCUGUUCUGACGGUACCCAAAGAAUAAGCACCGGCUAACUUCGUG